AUUGAACGCUGGCGGCAGGCUUAACACCUGCAAGUCGAACGAGUGGCGGACGGGUGAGUAAUGCUUGGGAAUCUGGCUUAUGGAGGGGGAUAACGACGGGAACCUGUCGCUAAUACCGCGUACCAUCGGAUGCGCCCAAGUGGGAUUAGGUAGGUGGUGGGGGAAUGGCCUACCAAGCUGACGAUCUCUAGCUGGGCUGAGAGGAUGAACAGCCACACCGGGACUGAGAGACGGCCCGGACUCCUACGUGAGGCAGCAGUGGGGAAUAUUGCUCAGUGGGUGCAACCCUGACGCAGCCAUGCCGCGUGUAUGAAGAAGGCCUUCGGGUUGUAAAGUCCUUUCGGUAUUGAGGCGGUAAAUACAGAAGAAGCUCCGGCUGACUCCGUGCCAGCAGCCGCGGUAAUUC
Molecule: ribosomal RNA, 406 nt
Filed under: uncultured bacterium
Lineage: Bacteria
Description: partial 16S ribosomal RNA
Rfam family: Bacterial small subunit ribosomal RNA
Source: RNAcentral